CGGUCCUAAGGUAGCGAAAUUCCUUGUCGGGUAAGUUCCGACCUGCACGAAUGGCAUAAUGAUGGCCACACUGUCUCCUCCUGAGACUCAGUGAAGUUGAAAUGUUUGUGAUGAUGCAAUCUCCCCGCGGCUAGACGGAAAGACCCCAUGAACCUUUACUGCAGCUUUGCAUUGGACUUUGAACCGAUCUGUGUAGGAUAGGUGGGAGGCAGUGAAGCUAGGACGCCAGUCUUAGCGGAGCCAACCUUGAAAUACCACCCUGAUUUGUUUGAGGUUCUAACCUAGGAGCGUAAUCCGCUUCGGGGACCGUGCAUGGUAGGCAGUUUGACUGGGGCGGUCUCCUCCUAAAGGGUAACGGAGGAGUGCGAAGGUACGCUAGGUACGGUCGGAAAUCGUGCUGAUAGUGCAAUGGCAAAAGCGUGCUUGACUGCGAGACCGACAAGUCGAGCAGAUACGAAAGUAGGUCAUAGUGAUCCGGUGGCUCUGCAUGGAAGGGCCAUCGCUCAACGGAUAAAAGGUACUCUGGGGAUAACAGGCUGAUACCGCCCAAGAGUUCAUAUCGACGGCGGUGUUUGGCACCUCGAUGUCGGCUCAUCGCAUCCUGGGGCUGUAGUCGGUCCCAAGGGUAUGGCUGUUCGCCAUUUAAAGAGGUACGUGAGCUGGGUUUAAAACGUCGUGAGACAGUUUUGUCCCUAUCUGCCGUGGGCGUUGGAAGAUUGACGGGGGCUGCUCCUAGUACGAGAGGACCGGAGUGGACUCACCUCUGGUGUACCGGUUGUCACGCCAGUGGCAUCGCCGGGUAGCUAUGUGGGGAAAGGAUAACCGCUGAAAGCAUCUAAGCGGGAAACCUGCCUGAAGAUAAGUCUUCCUGGAGGCUAGACCUCCCUGAAGAGUCGUUCGAGACCAGGACGUUGAUAGGUUGGAUGUGCAAGCGCUGUGAGGCGUUGAGCUGACCAAUACUAAUUGCUCGUGAAGCUUGAUCCU
This 984-nucleotide ribosomal RNA is filed under the name human gut metagenome. Its description in RNAcentral is "bacterial LSU rRNA". It matches the Rfam family "Bacterial large subunit ribosomal RNA", at positions 1946 to 2925 of the family's 2925-position model. The record is from RNAcentral.